UUUUGGCACAACCGACCGCUAAUGUGAGAUGCAAACAAGCUCACGGGUAAAAUGGAAGUAGUUCCACUGCGGAAGGAGUGAAUUGUUUAGUCAUGGUACUUUUCAGCGCCAUGUUUUCAUGCUUUCUUCUCGAUUCGUUCGAACCUCAGGAAACAGUUUGUCUCACAAAACAUGUAGCCACUUUCUCUUCUCUAAACACCUCGUGGCGUAACGUCCGAGCUGUGAUCGUGUACUGAAACGGGGUCCUGGUAAUUUGAGCUCACAAGCACGCUGGAUGGUCCAGCUGAAGAAAAGGGGUGAGAUUGACUGUAACAGUAAGGUGACUAAUUGGAAACUUAAGCACUUGGUU
Molecule: non-coding RNA, 349 nt
Organism: Pocillopora verrucosa
Lineage: Eukaryota; Metazoa; Cnidaria; Anthozoa; Scleractinia; Pocilloporidae
Source: RefSeq, a predicted model, not a curated record